This 330-nucleotide ribosomal RNA is filed under the name uncultured microorganism. RNAcentral's name for it is "bacterial SSU rRNA". It matches the Rfam family "Archaeal small subunit ribosomal RNA", at positions 330 to 612 of the family's 1478-position model. The record is from RNAcentral.
GUGCAGCAGGCGCGAAUCCUUCGCAAUGCAGGAAACUGCGACGAGGGAACUCCAAGUGCCUACGCUCAGCGUAGGCUGUUCUCAAGCCUAGAAAGCUUGAGGAGUAAGGGCUGGGUAAGACGGGUGCCAUCUGGUGGUAGCAGGUCAAUAGAUUCGAUUUGUUACUGCAAAGGGCAUAAGCCGCCGCGGUAAUACCCGCAGCCCAAGUGGUGGCCGCUUUUAUUGGGCCUAAAGCGUCCGUAGCCGGCCCGGUAAAUGCCUGGGUAAAUCGUGGAGCCCAACUUCACGAAUUCCGGGUAGACUGCCGAGCUCGGGACCGGAAGAGGGAGA